GAUUAGACAUCUUUCUAGAGAAGGUUACUACAACUUACAAGCAAAGAGUAUGGAUUUACUUACCAAGAAUUUGAAGGAUUUCAAGAAGCAAGAACAAUGCGUUUGCAUGCAUACACUAAACACAAGCCUUGCAGUGAAACUGAAGGCAGUACAGACAAUACACCCCCUUUAAACUCUCCCCCCAUGCUUAAGUUACUUUCCG
RNAcentral lists this unclassified non-coding RNA (202 nucleotides) under Hevea brasiliensis (rubber tree). Lineage: Eukaryota; Viridiplantae; Streptophyta; Magnoliopsida; Malpighiales; Euphorbiaceae. The record is from RNAcentral.